CUUUAACCCCUUCCGUACCGGGACGUACCUGGUACUUCCUGGUUAACAGUCACCGGUAGACCGGGACGUACCAGGCAGACCUCCAGCAGCAAAAACGAACCCCCAGAAGUCCUCUGAUCAGCCCUGUAGGGCUGAUCAGAGAGACUCCUCUCCCACAAUCUCCAGUCCACUGGAGAUUGUGUCCCAGCUGCCAGAGGCAGCUUCAGGGACAGGGAGACAGGGCUCUUUGGUCUCCACAUUAGUGUGGAGACCAGCCCCCCCACCCCCACCCCCCAUAGUUAACCCCUACCCCCCCUCUUCCUCAAUUAACCCCUUCAAUGCUGCGAUUGUUUAUGACCCCCAUCGCAGCAUUGCAGGGGUUAAUAUUAGUCCCCACAAGCUUGUGGGGACUAAAUAUCAAUCAAUGCUGUGCUUCAAUGGAGCAUCAGCAUUGAAAGAGUUAAAAAAAAAAAAAAUUAAAAAAUAAU
Spea bombifrons (plains spadefoot toad) is the source of this 467-nucleotide long non-coding RNA. RefSeq lists it as uncharacterized. Lineage: Eukaryota; Metazoa; Chordata; Amphibia; Anura; Pelobatidae. The record is from RefSeq and is a predicted model, not a curated record. The transcript has 2 exons.